This 525-nucleotide ribosomal RNA is filed under the name uncultured fungus. RNAcentral describes it as "eukaryotic LSU rRNA". The stretch from base 163 to 316 matches the Rfam family "5.8S ribosomal RNA". Lineage: Eukaryota; Fungi. The record is from RNAcentral.
GCUCUACAACCCUUUGUGAACAUACCUAUAACUGUUGCUUCGGCGGGUAGGGUCUCCGUGACCCUCCCGGCCUCCCGCCCCCGGGCGGGUCGGCGCCCGCCGGAGGAUAACCAAACUCUGAUUUAACGACGUUUCUUCUGAGUGGUACAAGCAAAUAAUCAAAACUUUUAACAACGGAUCUCUUGGUUCUGGCAUCGAUGAAGAACGCAGCGAAAUGCGAUAAGUAAUGUGAAUUGCAGAAUUCAGUGAAUCAUCGAAUCUUUGAACGCACAUUGCGCCCGCCAGCAUUCUGGCGGGCAUGCCUGUUCGAGCGUCAUUUCAACCCUCAAGCUCUGCUUGGUGUUGGGGCCCUACAGCUGAUGUAGGCCCUCAAAGGUAGUGGCGGACCCUCCCGGAGCCUCCUUUGCGUAGUAACUUUACGUCUCGCACUGGGAUCCGGAGGGACUCUUGCCGUAAAACCCCCAAUUUUCCAAAGGUUGACCUCGGAUCAGGUAGGAAUACCCGCUGAACUUAAGCUAAUCAAUA